ACGACCUUACUUGAACAGGAUCUGUUCUAUAGGCUCGUACCAUUGAAUUCUUGAAUUCUAAGGAGACAGGAUACCAAGUUUGGUUGAUGAAGUAUGGCCAUGUGAUCAGAGCGUGAUUAAUAACCAACCCAUGGCUCCUCAAGCUGUGGUUGCAGUAGAUGAUCGUUCUUAGACCUAUCUCGGGUCUAAGAUGAUCUCAUGGCUUUCUGACAGACU
This is a small nucleolar RNA of Solanum pennellii, 216 nucleotides long. RefSeq annotates it as small nucleolar RNA U3. The record is from RefSeq and is a predicted model, not a curated record. The transcript has a single exon. NCBI's taxonomy places the organism in Eukaryota, Viridiplantae, Streptophyta, Magnoliopsida, Solanales, Solanaceae.